GGAGGUGUAGCUCAGUUGGUAGAGCUGCAUGCUUAGCAUGCACGAGGUUCAGGGUUCAAACCCCAGUACCUCCU
Molecule: transfer RNA, 74 nt
Filed under: Camelus bactrianus (Bactrian camel)
Lineage: Eukaryota; Metazoa; Chordata; Mammalia; Artiodactyla; Camelidae
Also listed under: 2 other names
Rfam family: tRNA
About the family: Transfer RNA (tRNA) molecules are approximately 80 nucleotides in length. Their secondary structure includes four short double-helical elements and three loops (D, anti-codon, and T loops). Further hydrogen bonds mediate the characteristic L-shaped molecular structure. tRNAs have two regions of fundamental functional importance: the anti-codon, which is responsible for specific mRNA codon recognition, and the 3' end, to which the tRNAs corresponding amino acid is attached (by aminoacyl-tRNA synthetases). tRNAs cope with the degeneracy of the genetic code in two manners: having more than one tRNA (with a specific anti-codon) for a particular amino acid; and 'wobble' base-pairing, i.e. permitting non-standard base-pairing at the 3rd anti-codon position.
Source: Rfam by way of RNAcentral